Molecule: ribosomal RNA, 497 nt
Filed under: uncultured bacterium
Lineage: Bacteria
Description: partial 16S ribosomal RNA
Rfam family: Bacterial small subunit ribosomal RNA
Source: RNAcentral
GAUGAACGCUGGCGGCGUGCCUAAUACAUGCAAGUCGAGCGAACAGACGAGGAGCUUGCUCCUCUGACGUUAGCGGCGGACGGGUGAGUAACACGUGGAUAACCUACCUAUAAGACUGGGAUAACUUCGGGAAACCGGAGCUAAUACCGGAUAAUAUAUUGAACCGCAUGGUUCAAUAGUGAAAGACGGUUUUGCUGUCACUUAUAGAUGGAUCCGCGCCGCAUUAGCUAGUUGGUAAGGUAACGGCUUACCAAGGCGACGAUGCGUAGCCGACCUGAGAGCGUGAUCGGCUACACUGGAACUGAGACACGGUCCAGACUCCUACGGGAGGCAGCAGUAGGGAAUCUUCCGCAAUGGGCGAAAGCCUGACGGAGCAAAGCCGCGUGAGUGAUGAAGGUCUUCGGAUCGUAAAACUCUGUUAGUAGGGAAGAACAAAUGUGUAAGUAACUAUGAACGUCUUGACGGUACCUAAUCAGAAAGCCACGGCUAACUACGUG